GUGGGCAAUCUGCCCUAAAGACUGGGAUACCACUUGGAAACAGGUGCUAAUACCGGAUAACAACAUGAAUCGCAUGAUUCAAGUUUGAAAGGCGGCGUAAGCUGUCACUUUAGGAUGAGCCCGCGGCGCAUUAGCUAGUUGGUGGGGUAAAGGCCUACCAAGGCAAUGAUGCGUAGCCGAGUUGAGAGACUGAUCGGCCACAUUGGGACUGAGACACGGCCCAAACUCCUACGGGAGGCAGCAGUAGGGAAUCUUCCACAAUGGACGCAAGUCUGAUGGAGCAACGCCGCGUGAGUGAAGAAGGUUUUCGGAUCGUAAAGCUCUGUUGUUGGUGAAGAAGGAUAGAGGCAGUAACUGGUCUUUAUUUGACGGUAAUCAACCAGAAAGUCACGGCUAACUACGUGCCAGCAGCCGCGGUAAUACGUAGGUGGCAAGCGUUGUCCGGAUUUAUUGGGCGUAAAGCGAGCGCAGGCGGAAUGAUAAGUCUGAUGUGAAAGCCCACGGCUCAACCGUGGAACUGCAUCGGAAACUGUCAUUCUUGAGUGCAGAAGAGGAGAGUGGAAUUCCAUGUGUAGCGGUGGAAUGCGUAGAUAUAUGGAAGAACACCAGUGGCGAAGGCGGCUCUCUGGUCUGCAACUGACGCUGAGGCUCGAAAGCAUGGGUAGCGAACAGGAUUAGAUACCCUGGUAGUCCAUGCCGUAGACGAUGAGCGCUAGGUGUU
Molecule: ribosomal RNA, 721 nt
Filed under: Lactobacillus delbrueckii subsp. bulgaricus
Lineage: Bacteria; Bacillati; Bacillota; Bacilli; Lactobacillales; Lactobacillaceae
Description: bacterial SSU rRNA
Rfam family: Bacterial small subunit ribosomal RNA
Source: RNAcentral